This 73-nucleotide transfer RNA is filed under the name Dictyocaulus viviparus (bovine lungworm). It matches the Rfam family "tRNA". From Rfam's summary of the family: Transfer RNA (tRNA) molecules are approximately 80 nucleotides in length. Lineage: Eukaryota; Metazoa; Nematoda; Chromadorea; Rhabditida; Metastrongylidae. The record is from Rfam by way of RNAcentral.
GCUCUAGUAGUGUAAUGGAUCAGUAUGGUAGAUCGGAUAUCUGCAAGUGCGGGUUCGAGUCCUGCCUAAGGUU